Molecule: small nuclear RNA, 103 nt
Filed under: Amborella trichopoda
Lineage: Eukaryota; Viridiplantae; Streptophyta; Magnoliopsida; Amborellales; Amborellaceae
Source: RNAcentral
GUCUUUUCGGAAACAUCUGAUAAAAUUAGAACAAUACAAAUAAUAUUAGCAUAGCCCAUGUCCAAGGAUGACACGCUCAAAUCAAGAAAUGGUCCAAAUAUCA